GGAAAGUCUAUAUCUUGAAGCUAUUAAACUCCAAAUGGCGCCGCGGAUGGAACCUCGCAUGGACAUGCCAUUCUUCCAAGGACCCUUAGAUCGACUCCAGGAGGAGCUCUAGCUGCUGUGCCCCACUCAAUGCCCCUCUCUUCAGCAGGAAGUAGCCAGAAAGUCAUUGCCCAAUACCCCCUAACAGGAGUUAGGGUUACCACUCCUGAGAGGGGAAAUAUGAUACAGGAGCUAGAAAGAAAUUAUUUGGCAGACAGUGAGGGUGAAUAAGUCCUCAGCAAGGUUUCCCUUUUAAGAAAACGCAGCCCCCAAAUCAUUUCUUUUCUAACAAAGAGCAGCCUGAAAAAUUGAGCUGCAAACAUAGGUAAGCAAGUUGGAAGCUUGCACGGGGGGAUGCCGGCACCUGUGCUGAUAGAAGAAAGCUACCGGGGGCCAGGCAUGUUCAACAUGGAGGCUCCAUCUUCCCUUUUGUCACCAUGUGUACAGUAAAAAAAGCAGGCAACAUGGCACCGGCCAGGUAGAGAAUCCAUCUGAAUAAUAAAAGAUUAGGGUGGGGCGGCCAGCUUCUUUGUGCACUAUGCAAACAGCACACCUAGUCCUAACCAGUUCUUUGAAUGCUAUGUAAACGGCACACCUUGUCCAACCAAUCUUUCAUUCCCUAUGUAAAUUAGACACCACCUCCUCAAGCACAUCUAUAAAACCUCCUGCACUUCACUGCAGACCAGAAGACCUGCUUGGGACCUCCUCUCUCUUCAGGAGAGAGCUUUUCUCUUUCUUUCACCUAUUAAACCUCCAUUUUUAACCUC
RNAcentral lists this long non-coding RNA (806 nucleotides) under Homo sapiens (human). Its description in RNAcentral is "HSALNT0025335". The record is from RNAcentral. Lineage: Eukaryota; Metazoa; Chordata; Mammalia; Primates; Hominidae.